Non-coding RNA from Tilletia walkeri, 81 nucleotides. The record is from Rfam. NCBI's taxonomy places the organism in Eukaryota, Fungi, Basidiomycota, Exobasidiomycetes, Tilletiales, Tilletiaceae.
GGGCGGAUAACUCAGUUGGUAGAGUGCUCGCUUAGCAUCUGGUAAUGCGUGAAGUCCUUGGUUCAAUUCCUAGUUCGUCCA